UUGACCUCGGAUCAGGUAGGGAUACCCGCUGAACUUAAGCAUAUCAAUAAGCGGAGGAAAAGAAACCAACAGGGAUUGCCCCAGUAACGGCGAGUGAAGCGGCAAGAGCUCAAAUUUGAAAGCUGGCUCCUUCGGGGUCCGCAUUGUAAUUUGCAGAGGAUGCUUCGGGAGCGGUCCCCAUCUAAGUGCCCUGGAACGGGACGUCAUAGAGGGUGAGAAUCCCGUAUGGGAUGGGGUGUCCGCGCCCGUGUGAAGCUCCUUCGACGAGUCGAGUUGUUUGGGAAUGCAGCUCUAAAUGGGUGGUAAAUUUCAUCUAAAGCUAAAUAUUGGCCGGAGACCGAUAGCGCACAAGUAGAGUGAUCGAAAGAUGAAAAGCACUUUGAAAAGAGAGUUAAAAAGCACGUGAAAUUGUUGAAAGGGAAGCGCUUGCGACCAGACUCGCUCGCGGGGUUCAGCCGGCAUUCGUGCCGGUGUAUUUCCCCGCGGGCGGGCCAGCGUCGGUUUGGGCGGUCGGUCAAAGGCCCUCGGAAGGUAACGCCCCUAGGGGCGUCUUAUAGCCGAGGGUGCAAUGCGACCUGCCUAGACCGAGGAACGCGCUUCGGCUCGGACGC
Molecule: ribosomal RNA, 611 nt
Filed under: Penicillium commune
Lineage: Eukaryota; Fungi; Ascomycota; Eurotiomycetes; Eurotiales; Aspergillaceae
Description: eukaryotic LSU rRNA
Rfam family: Eukaryotic large subunit ribosomal RNA
Source: RNAcentral